Molecule: small nuclear RNA, 107 nt
Organism: Sorex araneus (European shrew)
Lineage: Eukaryota; Metazoa; Chordata; Mammalia; Eulipotyphla; Soricidae
Source: Ensembl
AUGCUUGCUUCGACAGCAGGUAUACUAAAAUUAGAACAACAAAGAGAAAAUUAACAUGUCCCCAGUGCAAGGAUGACAUGUACAUUAGGGAAGCAUUUCAUAAUUUU